CUCUGCUGCAAACCCCUGACAAGUGUCACAGUCUACUGGGAGAGCCUCAGGGGCAGAGAGGGUUUGCAGAAACAACAGGAAACGUUAUGGAGUCAGUCCUGGGGAAAAGCUUGUCAAGGCAAACUUCUUGGUUCUUAAGUGGAUAAAACUCAGUCAAUCUUUGUCAUUUUUGCUGGCAGGAUUUGCUCUGAUUUGGGAAAACACACAAGCUGAUGGAAAGGAUGGGGCUUACCCGUUAUUUUCUGCUCCCUUACUUUGGCAACAUGCUGCAGAUGUACAAAAAGGUGACUAUUCAUGGCCUGGCAGGUGGAAGAUUAAUUCUGACUGAGGAAGAAUUUCUUCAUGAAGUGACUUCAAAGGCAAAAUAUUGUGGAGAGGGAGGGGGAAGGAGGCAACACUUGUGUGAAGGAAGAAGAGGGAGGCUGUGCCAGUUGGCAUCAAACACUGGAAGGAUAACCUUCGUCCUCAGGGCUGGCACCAGCAGCUCAGGCUAGUGCAUUGGCAGCUUUGCUCGUGCUGCAGUUUCGUCUCCCCCCCAUUGAUUUGCAUCCAGGGACACAGAGGGCACCUGGCCCAUCUCCAGUGCCUUCACCAGGCAGGGCAAAGAAAGCUUUGAAAGAAAUGAUGGAGGUAUUUAAAAAAUCCCUUCUGGGAAAACUGAGUUCAUGAUCCUUCUUUCCUGCUCAGCCUGUUGUUGAAGAGCUGACAGAAUCCCCAAUGGUCUUGAGGCCUUUGUGUAAAGUUUCUCUCACCUUGCCACAGUCUGUGGUAGGUCAUAGAUUUUCUAAUUUUUAUAUAUUUUUAUAUAAAAAUAAUAUUUUUAUAAUAUUAUUCAUUAUAAUAAUUAUUAUUGUUAUAUAUUAUUAUUAAAAUUCUGUCACAUGGUCUUCCUCAGGCACAUGACUGAGCUGAGAGCUGAUCCACCCACUUUUGUGAACAUAAUUAGAAAAGGUCUGACUGUCUCCUUUCUUCCUUUCUGGAUUGCCAUCACAUGGAAAUUUCUCUUGUAAGGCAGAUAUCUCAAGCUGAUUGUGGUGGCAUUUGAAAAAAAAGGAAAUACAGAAAUGCCAGAAACAAAUCCCUGCAUUUAGGGGCCACUAUCUCACCUAAGACCAGCACUUCUACAAGCCACACAACAAAAUGAGCAGGCUGUGGGAGUGGAAGAAGAAUUAGCCAUGAUCCUUUGUAACUUUUCCACCAAAGCACUCUUACUGUCUUCCAAACCACUCUGUUCUGUGUCCUGAACAUGGGUGAAGUUGGGCAGAUAUGAAGUUCUGUGGAGGUAGCUGCAACUUCAUCCUGAAACAUUGUCUGUAAGGAUCAUGCAGUUAUCCUCAAGGUGGGAAGCAAUUCCUCUUGUCCAGCAGAGACAAACGCUCAU
This 1381-nucleotide long non-coding RNA is filed under the name Junco hyemalis (dark-eyed junco). RNAcentral describes it as "lncRNA (ENSJHYG00000012579.1)". Lineage: Eukaryota; Metazoa; Chordata; Aves; Passeriformes; Passerellidae. The record is from RNAcentral.